Zonotrichia albicollis (white-throated sparrow) is the source of this 675-nucleotide non-coding RNA. Lineage: Eukaryota; Metazoa; Chordata; Aves; Passeriformes; Passerellidae. The record is from RefSeq and is a predicted model, not a curated record.
AGCAACAAGGUCAGAGUGCUUUAUACUAUUUUUCUCAUUUAGUUUUAUACACCUCAAUUUCUGACCUCUUUCCAUUUGCUGCAACAUUAACUACACCUAAGUGCACAUUUUACAGCAUUGAAAUAUUUUCUGGUGUUUACCCAAGACAGUUUUGCCUACUAGCUCUCAGAUGGCUGGUGCCUUUUUUGUGUCCUAAUAGAGCCUCCAAUCCACUGCAAAAUUUCAUGAGCAUGAUCUCUCUUCUCUCCUCAAGUCAUAAAAAUAUUGAGCAUGCCUAGAUUCAGGGCGGUGUGACACUGGGUCAUACCUGUACCAUGCAGCACUCAAUUGCUGAAAACCAUCAAGAACUGUGUGGAAAAGAAUGAAUUUCAAGGACACAUGCAUGAAAGUUUUCCUGAGUACAUCCCUUCCUAAGAUGUGUUGGAAUUCACAGCUGAAGUUUAAAUUUUCAUACACUUUUUUUUACUCUACUGAUUUCAAUUUCUUGAUUAGCUUUGUGCUUACAAAAUUUGGGGCCAUAAUUUAGCCUUUUAGUUCAAAGUCUUGCCUGGUUUGACACAGCUUGAGAUUUGAGGAUCCUCCUCUUGUCAGGACUGGCAAAACCUUUGUGGUUACAUGUGUAUUGAAAUUUAAAAAAUAUCUAGGGGCCAUUCUUCAGUCCUGAGAGUGAGUAGG